This 254-nucleotide ribosomal RNA is filed under the name uncultured bacterium. Its description in RNAcentral is "partial 16S ribosomal RNA". It matches the Rfam family "Bacterial small subunit ribosomal RNA", at positions 524 to 776 of the family's 1533-position model. The record is from RNAcentral.
UACGAGGUGGACAAACGUUAUUCGGAUUUACUGGGCUUAAAGCGUGCGUAGGCGGCUCAGAAAGUUGGGUGUGAAAGCCCUCGGCUCAACUGGGGAGGGUCACGCGAUACUGAUCGACUCGAAGGCAGGAGAGGGUAGUGGAAUUCCCGGUGUAGUGGUGAAAUGCGUAGAUAUCGGGAGGAACACCAGUGGCGAAGGCGACUACCUGGCCUGUUUCUUGACGCUGAGGCGCGAAAGCUAGGGGAGCAAACGGG